CCCAGUGAAAGCUCUUGGGAAAAGAAUGUGUACAAAGCAAUAUAAGAAUAAAAUGUGCUUUCUGGAAGUAAGAAUUGAACAAGCAAAGAUGGAGUUAGCUAAGGCUGGGAAAUCUUAGGAUGGUGAACCAUCAUGUUUCCUGAAUGUGAAUCCUGUACCUGGUUUGACUGUAGUCACCCCUUCUCCAACACUCUCCACGAUGCCGGCUGCCUCAUGGCCUAAAAUCACAGGAAGUGGGGUCACCAUGGUACCACUAACCACGUGGUCAUCUGUGCCACAGAUUCCUACAGCCACCAUCUACAGAGUGAAGAGAAGAUGUUUAUAAAAGAUUGUGAGUCUCAGGAUGUUCAACAUGAUCAAUGCCAAAUAAAUAUCAGAAUACUUGGAAGUAAAGUACUAAUAGUAGGAGUUCCUGAUUAUCAGGUGCCUAUGAUGUGACAGGCACAUUGUGGCCUGUGCUCGACCAGGAGACUGGUGAGUCCUUGUGGAUUUCUUCCCUGCUCAAGUGCAUAAAGCAGGUGUAUUGCAUAGGCUGAGAUCAAAGACGGAGAUGUGCCUACCCGCAGAUCCUAGAUGGCCAUGUUUGCAACAGAGGUAAUGAUGAGCAGUGCGAAGAUGUGACUCCAAAGCCUGGAGAAGGACAGACCAGCAUCCCUGCAAGAGAUCCAACUGUCUUCUUUUCCGCAGAGGUCCAUAAUUUACAUGGGCCUGACAAAGAAUACUGUAACUUGCAGAAAUUAUCUUCAGUUCAAAUCCUUCAUUUUGGGGGUUAAAUAACUUGGUAAGAUAAUGAGAUUAAUAUUAUUGUAAAGAUUGCUAGAAAGAAUUGUAACAGUUCAUGUAUGUGCAUAAAUAACAACCUUAAAGCAUGUUUUGGGAUGAGGUGCAAAAUGAAAAUUGGGAGAGGGACUUUAGUAGCAGUAAACAGAACUUGAGAAUGGAAUAGAUGCAUACUCUAUAGCACACUGCAAUAAAUAGAAUACAUUUUAAGUUCCUAGAGAAAUUUUUGAAAAUGCCACAUUCAAAGCCAUCAAUCCCUACUCAAUUAGCAUUUCAUUUUGAUUUUGGUACUGAAGCCCAAGAUGUCGAGGGAGCGGAAAUACUUGCUGGUCUUGCAGCGGCUGUGGAGCCUGGAAUCCUGCCAAGAAGAGCAUGUGUGAGAGAUCAAAAUGUUUGCUUACAUUCCUCCUGUGAAGGGAGUUGGGAAAUAACCUAAGAAGCCCAAUCCAAAAACAAAGAUGUACCAUCCAGUCUUCUCUGUGAGAACCAAACUACAAACCAUCUGAAUGUUCCAAAAGUGUUUUGAUGAUGUAUUGAUGUAUUUUAAAUUAUCCUGAAAAUGUUCUUGGCAGAUGCUUAAACAUGUAAUUACUGAGAUGAUGUAGAAAUACCAAGUGUUUAUUAAAACAAUACAGAGUAAUACAAAUGGUAUGUUUGUCGCAAUAUAAAAGUAUCUAAAAAUUAAAGAGUUCUUUAAUGGUGGAGAUUGUUUUCCUUUUUGAAGUUAAAAUAUAAAUUUUUGUAAAAAGCACAAAUUAUUACUAUUUAUAGCUAACAUUUAUGGAGUGCUGAC
This 1573-nucleotide long non-coding RNA is filed under the name Homo sapiens (human). RNAcentral describes it as "PREDICTED lncRNA (TCONS_00202165)". The record is from RNAcentral. Lineage: Eukaryota; Metazoa; Chordata; Mammalia; Primates; Hominidae.